AAAACUUUUCCAAAAAAAAAAAAAAAAUCUGUUCUUAUCAGUUUAAUAUCUGAUACGUCCCCUAUCUGGGGACCAUAUAUUAAAUUGAUUUUUGGAAUAGGGAGAUGGAAUAGGGGCUUGCUCCGUCCACUCCACGCAUCGACCUGGUAUUGCAGUACCUCCAGGAACGGUGCACCCCCU
Molecule: small nuclear RNA, 180 nt
Organism: Oncorhynchus tshawytscha (Chinook salmon)
Lineage: Eukaryota; Metazoa; Chordata; Actinopteri; Salmoniformes; Salmonidae
Gene: U2
Rfam family: U2 spliceosomal RNA
About the family: U2 is a small nuclear RNA (snRNA) component of the spliceosome (involved in pre-mRNA splicing). Complementary binding between U2 snRNA (in an area lying towards the 5' end but 3' to hairpin I) and the branchpoint sequence (BPS) of the intron results the bulging out of an unpaired adenosine, on the BPS, which initiates a nucleophilic attack at the intronic 5' splice site, thus starting the first of two transesterification reactions that mediate splicing.
Source: Ensembl